GGGUUAGGAGCAGGGUUAGGGUUGAAUUAGGAGUAGGGUUAGGGUAGUGUUAGGGGUAGGUUAUGGUUAGGGCUAGAGGUACCCCUACUCUAACUCUACCCUUAACCCUACCCCUAAACCUACUCCUAGUGCAACCCUAACCCUAACCUUACCCCUAACCCUACUCCUUACCCUACUCCUAACCCUACCCCUACCC
Pelobates cultripes (western spadefoot toad) is the source of this 196-nucleotide non-coding RNA. NCBI's taxonomy places the organism in Eukaryota, Metazoa, Chordata, Amphibia, Anura, Pelobatidae. The record is from the annotation of a GenBank genome assembly.